AACGCGAAGAACCUUACCUACUCUUGACAUCCAGAGAACUUAGCAGAGAUGCUUUGGUGCCUUCGGGAACUCUGAGACAGGUGCUGCAUGGCUGUCGUCAGCUCGUGUUGUGAAAUGUUGGGUUAAGUCCCGCAACGAGCGCAACCCUUAUCCUUUGUUGCCAGCGGUUCGGCCGGGAACUCAAAGGAGACUGCCAGUGAUAAACUGGAGGAAGGUGGGGAUGACGUCAAGUCAUCAUGGCCCUUACGAGUAGGGCUACACACGUGCUACAAUGGCAUAUACAAAGAGAAGCGACCUCGCGAGAGCAAGCGGACCUCACAAAGUAUGUCGUAGUCCGGAUCGGAGUCUGCAACUCGACUCCNUGAAGUCGGAAUCGCUAGUAAUCGUAGAUCAGAAUGCUACGGUGAAUACGUUCCCGGGUCUUGUACACACCG
RNAcentral lists this ribosomal RNA (434 nucleotides) under uncultured Enterobacteriaceae bacterium. RNAcentral's name for it is "bacterial SSU rRNA". It matches the Rfam family "Bacterial small subunit ribosomal RNA", at positions 958 to 1392 of the family's 1533-position model. Lineage: Bacteria; Pseudomonadati; Pseudomonadota; Gammaproteobacteria; Enterobacterales; Enterobacteriaceae. The record is from RNAcentral.